Molecule: ribosomal RNA, 253 nt
Filed under: uncultured bacterium
Lineage: Bacteria
Description: partial 16S ribosomal RNA
Rfam family: Bacterial small subunit ribosomal RNA
Source: RNAcentral
UACGAAGGGGGCUAGCGUUGCUCGGAAUCACUGGGCGUAAAGCGCACGUAGGCGGAUUUUUAAGUCAGGGGUGAAAUCCUGGAGCUCAACUCCAGAACUGCCUUUGAUACUGGGAAUCUCGAGUCCGGAAGAGGUGAGUGGAACUGCGAGUGUAGAGGUGAAAUUCGUAGAUAUUCGCAAGAACACCAGUGGCGAAGGCGGCUCACUGGUCCGGUACUGACGCUGAGGUGCGAAAGCGUGAGGAGCAAACAGG